RNAcentral lists this ribosomal RNA (253 nucleotides) under uncultured bacterium. RNAcentral describes it as "partial 16S ribosomal RNA". It matches the Rfam family "Bacterial small subunit ribosomal RNA", at positions 524 to 776 of the family's 1533-position model. The record is from RNAcentral.
UACGGGGGGGGCAAGCGUUAUUCGGAAUUAUUGGGCUUAAAGGGUGCGUAGGCUGUGCAGUAAGUUGGGUGUGAAAUCCCUCGGCUCAACCGAGGAACUGCGCCGAAUACUGCUGUGCUAGAGGAAGAUAGGGGUAAGCGGAACUGAUGGUGGAGCGGUGAAAUGCGUUGAUAUCAUCAGGAACACCGGUGGCGAAGGCGGCUUACUGGUCCGGUACUGACGCUGAGGUGCGAAAGCGUGGGGAGCAAACAGG